UGUGGGAGCGAGCUUGCUCGCGAUGGCGGCCUGACAUUCAACAGGGUUGUUGGCUGUCAGAUUGCUAUCGCGAGCAAGCUCGCUCCCACA
RNAcentral lists this unclassified non-coding RNA (90 nucleotides) under Pseudomonas prosekii. The record is from RNAcentral. Lineage: Bacteria; Pseudomonadati; Pseudomonadota; Gammaproteobacteria; Pseudomonadales; Pseudomonadaceae.